UACGGAGGGUGCAAGCGUUUAUCCGGAUUCACUGGGUUUAAAGGGUGCGUAGGCGGACAGGUAAGUCAGUGGUGAAAUCUCUGGGCUUAACCCAGAAACUGCCGUUGAUACUAUCUGUCUUGAAUACCGUGGAGAUGAGCGGAAUAUGUCAUGUAGCGGUGAAAUGCUUAGAUAUGACAUAGAACACCAAUUGCGAAGGCAGCUCGUUACACGAAUAUUGACUCUGAGGCACGAAAAGCGUGGGGGAUCAAAACAGG
Molecule: ribosomal RNA, 257 nt
Filed under: uncultured bacterium
Lineage: Bacteria
Description: partial 16S ribosomal RNA
Rfam family: Bacterial small subunit ribosomal RNA
Source: RNAcentral